Molecule: microRNA precursor, 65 nt
Filed under: Danio rerio (zebrafish)
Lineage: Eukaryota; Metazoa; Chordata; Actinopteri; Cypriniformes; Danionidae
Also listed under: 1 other name
Description: Dre-Mir-7-P3_pre stem-loop
Rfam family: mir-7 microRNA precursor family
About the family: This family represents the microRNA (miRNA) precursor mir-7.
Source: RNAcentral
UGGAAGACUAGUGAUUUUGUUGUUUUUUUAUGAUGGAAGGAGACAACAAGUCAUAGUCUGCCUCA